AAGUCGUAACAAGGUUUCCGUAGGUGAACCUGCGGAAGGAUCAUUACAAAUCCGAAUAUCCACGAUGUGUGUGGUUUAUACUCACACACUCGAUUCUUAACUCUUGACCCUUGUAUGAUGUGAGUGACAACAAAAGAAUACCUUUUGACAAUGGAUCUCUUGGCUCUU
RNAcentral lists this unclassified non-coding RNA (168 nucleotides) under Rozellomycota sp. RNAcentral describes it as "Cryptomycota sp. partial contains small subunit ribosomal RNA, internal transcribed spacer 1, and 5.8S ribosomal RNA". The stretch from base 1 to 46 matches the Rfam family "Eukaryotic small subunit ribosomal RNA", at positions 1786 to 1831 of the family's 1831-position model. Lineage: Eukaryota; Fungi; Rozellomycota. The record is from RNAcentral.